Molecule: long non-coding RNA, 322 nt
Filed under: Nicotiana benthamiana
Lineage: Eukaryota; Viridiplantae; Streptophyta; Magnoliopsida; Solanales; Solanaceae
Description: long non-coding RNA (NBEN_LNC021773)
Source: RNAcentral
ACAUGAGCAAUAUCCAAACCUUUCCCCACCGGCAGAAAAACUGACCGUACAAUUCUUGAUUUUCCGUCAAGUACACUCCGCCACCGGAAAUCAGAUUCAACCCUUGAACUUGCAUUCUUACAUAUCAAAACUGCUCCCCUAUGACCCAACUUCGCCACCCUCAAAAUUCUACCCCUUGAACUUGCAUUCUUACAUAUCAAAACAGCUCCCCUAUGACCCAACUUCGCCACCCUCAAAAUUCUACCAAAAUCAUUUCUCCUACAAUCCACCACCAAAAAAUCAAUCCCCAUUAACCCUUCCAUUGCUUCUUCCGGUUCUCCGA